RNAcentral lists this ribosomal RNA (468 nucleotides) under uncultured bacterium. Its description in RNAcentral is "partial 16S ribosomal RNA". It matches the Rfam family "Bacterial small subunit ribosomal RNA", at positions 28 to 507 of the family's 1533-position model. The record is from RNAcentral.
GACGAACGCUGGCGGCGUGCUUAACACAUGCAAGUCGAACGGAAAGGCCCUGCUUUUGUGGGGUGCUCGAGUGGCGAACGGGUGAGUAACACGUGAGUAACCUGCCCUUGACUUUGGGAUAACUUCAGGAAACUGGGGCUAAUACAGGAUAGGAGCUCCUGCUGCAUGGUGGGGGUUGGAAAGAUUCGGCGGUUGGGGAUGGACUCGCGGCUUAUCAGCUUGUUGGUGGGGUAGUGGCAUACCAAGGCUUUGACGGGUAGCCGGCCUGAGAGGGUGACCGGCCACAUUGGGACUGAGAUACGGCCCAGACGCCUACGGGAGGCAGCAGUGGGGAAUAUUGCACAAUGGGCGGAAGCCUGAUGCAGCAACGCCGCGUGCGGGAUGACGGCCUUCGGGUUGUAAACCGCUUUCGCCUGUGACGAAGCGUGAGUGACGGUAAUGUGUAAAGAAGCACCGGCUAACUACGUG